AGUGAACGCUGGCGGUAGGCCUAACACAUGCAAGUCGAACGGCAGCACAGUAAGAGCUUGCUCUUACGGGUGGCGAGUGGCGGACGGGUGAGGAAUACAUCGGAAUCUACUUUUUCGUGGGGGAUAACGUCGGGAAACUUACGCUAAUACCGCAUACGACCUACGGGUGAAAGCAGGGGAUCUUCGGACCUUGCGCGAUUGAAUGAGCCGAUGUCGGAUUAGCUAGUUGGCGGGGUAAAGGCCCACCAAGGCGACGAUCCGUAGCUGGUCUGAGAGGAUGAUCGGCCACACUGGAACUGAGACACGGUCCAGACUCCGACGUGAGGCAGCAGUGGGGAAUAUUGGACAAUGGGCGCAAGCCUGAUCCAGCCAUACCGCGUGGGUGAAGAAGGCCUUCGGGUUGUAAAGCCCUUUUGUUGGGAAAGAAAAGCAGCAGGUUAAUACCCCGCUGUUCUGACGGUACCCAAAGAAUGAGCACCGGCUAACUUCGUG
This 492-nucleotide ribosomal RNA is filed under the name uncultured bacterium. RNAcentral describes it as "partial 16S ribosomal RNA". It matches the Rfam family "Bacterial small subunit ribosomal RNA", at positions 29 to 507 of the family's 1533-position model. The record is from RNAcentral.